This 1428-nucleotide ribosomal RNA is filed under the name metagenome. RNAcentral's name for it is "bacterial SSU rRNA". It matches the Rfam family "Archaeal small subunit ribosomal RNA". The record is from RNAcentral.
ACCCGUUGAUCCUGCGGGAGGUUGCUGCUAUUGGAGUUCGACUAAACCAUGCAAGUCAUCUCGUAAGAGAGGCAGAAUGCUCAGUAACACGUCAAUAAUCUAACCUUAAGUCAGGGAUAACCUUGGAAAACUGAGGAUAACACCUGAUAUGUGAUCAAUACUGGAAUGUAUGAUCACUUAAAGGCAACGCUUAAGGAUGAGUUGGCGGCCGAUUAGGCUGUUGGUGGGGUAAAGGCCCACCAAACCUCCGAUCGGUAGGGGCCUUGAGAGAGGGAGCCCCGAGAAGGGCACUGAGGUACUGGCCCUAGCCCCACGGGGUGCGGCAGGUGCGAAACCUUUACAAUGCACGAAAGUGUGAUAAGGGAACUCCAGGUGCUCAUACAUUGUAUGGGCUUUUGCCAAGAGUAGAUAUCUUGGAGAAUAAGUGAUGGGUAAGACUGGUGCCAGCCGCCGCGGUAAUACCAGCGUCACAAGUGGGAACCAUUAUUAUUGGGCCUAAAGCGUCCGUAGCUGGAUUGAUAAAUCUUUUGUGAAAUUGUUUUGCUUAACUUAACAAAUUGCAGAAGAGACUGUUAAUCUUGAGACCGGGAGGAGUAUGGAGUAUUUUUGGGGAAGCGGUAAAAUGUGAUAAUCCCAGAAGGACUACCUGUGGCGAAGGCGCCUUACUAGAACGGAUCUGACAGUGAGGGACGAAGGCUAGGGGAGCGAAACGGAUUAGAUACCCGAGUAGUCCUAGCAGUAAACUCUGCGAGCUAGGUGUUGCAUAUUCUUCGGGAAUGUGCAGUGUCGGAGCGAAGGUGUUAAGCUCGCCGCCUGGGAAGUAUAGUCGCAAGGCCGAAACUUAAAGGAAUUGGCGGGGGAGCACUACCAGGGGUGCGGCGUGCGGUUUAAUUGAAUUCAACGCCGGUAAUCUCACCAGUAGCGACGGCAGAAUGAAAGUCAGGUUAAAGGCCUUACUAGACAAGCCGAGAGGUGGUGCAUGGCCGCCGUCAGCUCGUGCCGCGAGGUGUCCAGUUAAGUCUGGUAACGAGCAAGACCUGUAUCCAUAAUUGCUAGCGGGUCUUCGGAUGAUCGAGAACAAUAUGGAGACUGCCUUGGUAACAAGGAGGAAGGUGCAGGCAACGGUAGGUCAGUAUGCCCCGAAUCUACUGGACUACACGCGCGCAACAAUGAUAAGAACAAUGGGCUACAACUCCGAAAGGAGAAGUUAAUCCUCGAAAUCUUACCUUAGUUUAGAUUGAGGUCUGUAACUCAGCCUCAUGACAACGGAAUCCCUAGUAAUUGGACGUCAUCAGCGUCCAGUGAAUACGUCCCUGCUCCUUGCACACACCGCCCGUCAAACCACUCGAGUAGGGUAUAGAUGAGGAUUAGUUUUUUUGAUUAAUACGAAUCUAUUCUCAGCGAGAUGGGUUAAGUCGUCACAAGGUA